AACGAACGCUGGCGGCGCGUCUUAAGCAUGCAAGUCGAGCGGCAAGGGGGGAGCAAUCCCCCCUAGAGCGGCGGACUGGUGAGUAACACGUGGGUGAUCUACCUUUCGGCUGGGGAGUAGCCCGUGGAAACACGGGGUAAUACCGAAUACGUUGGCGGAGUCACGGCUCCGUCAGGAAAGGCCCGUUUGGGCCGCCGAAAGAUGAGCCUGCGGCUGAUUAGCUUGUUGGCGGGGUAACGGCCCACCAAGGCGAUGAUCAGUAGCCGGCCUGAGAGGGUGAACGGCCACAUUGGGACUGAGAUACGGCCCAAACUCCUACGGGUGGCAG
This 328-nucleotide ribosomal RNA is filed under the name uncultured Spirochaetota bacterium. RNAcentral describes it as "bacterial SSU rRNA". It matches the Rfam family "Bacterial small subunit ribosomal RNA", at positions 28 to 351 of the family's 1533-position model. Lineage: Bacteria; Pseudomonadati; Spirochaetota. The record is from RNAcentral.